AACUUGUGCUAAUACCGAAUGUGCCCUUCGGGGGAAAGAUUUAUCGCCAUUAGAGCGGCCCGCGUCUGAUUAGCUAGUUGGUGAGGUAAAGGCUCACCAAGGCGACGAUCAGUAGCUGGUCUGAGAGGAUGAUCAGCCACAUUGGGACUGAGACACGGCCCAAACUCCUACGGGAGGCAGCAGUGGGGAAUCUUGCGCAAUGGGCGAAAGCCUGACGCAGCCAUGCCGCGUGAAUGAUGAAGGUCUUAGGAUUGUAAAAUUCUUUCAGUAGGGACGAUAAUGACGGUACCUACAGAAGAAGCCCCGGCUAACUUCGUGCCAGCAGCCGCGGUAAUACGAAGGGGGCUAGCGUUGCUCGGAAUUACUGGGCGUAAAGGGAGCGUAGGCGGACAUUUAAGUCAGGGGUGAAAUCCCGGGGCUCAACCUCGGAAUUGCCUUUGAUACUGGGUGUCUUGAGUAUGAGAGAGGUAUGUGGAACUCCGAGUGUAGAGGUGAAAUUCGUAGAUAUUCGGAAGAACACCAGUGGCGAAGGCGACAUACUGGCUCAUUACUGACGCUGAGGCUCGAAAGCGUGGGGAGCAAACAGGAUUAGAUACCCUGGUAGUCCACGCCGUAAACGAUGAUUGCUAGUUGUCGGGAUGCAUGCAUUUCGGUGACGCAGCUAACGCAUUAAGCAAUCCGCCUGGGGAGUACGGUCGCAAGAUUAAAACUCAAAGGAAUUGACGGGGGC
RNAcentral lists this ribosomal RNA (730 nucleotides) under Brevundimonas mediterranea. RNAcentral's name for it is "bacterial SSU rRNA". It matches the Rfam family "Bacterial small subunit ribosomal RNA", at positions 155 to 920 of the family's 1533-position model. Lineage: Bacteria; Pseudomonadati; Pseudomonadota; Alphaproteobacteria; Caulobacterales; Caulobacteraceae. The record is from RNAcentral.